AAUGAUUAGCAUAAUAUAAUUUUGGAAAAUACUGAUCCAAGUUUUAUUCCAGCUAUCAUUCACUUAAACCUUAAACAUUUAACAAUAAUACGAGAAAAAGUUUUUUUCCAAGUCUGUUACGGCCAUCCAAAGGAAUCUGAAAGCAGUUUUAUGAAUGUUUUCAGAUGCUCUUUCCAACUGUAUUUUUAGUUCAGUGGCAGCGGACCUCGAUAUGGAAAUUUCAUAAAUUUCUGACGAGAUUUUGGAUGUAGCCAUUUUAAGCAUAGCUAAAUAAAUUGAAGUGAAUGACAUAGUGGACCACAUUUAUCAGUCUGAACUUCAACUUUGUACGUGUGAUGUUGCAUAAAUAAAGCGAUCAGUUAUUA
Long non-coding RNA from Leptinotarsa decemlineata (Colorado potato beetle), 365 nucleotides. The record is from RefSeq and is a predicted model, not a curated record. NCBI's taxonomy places the organism in Eukaryota, Metazoa, Arthropoda, Insecta, Coleoptera, Chrysomelidae.